GUUAUCAUGUGGAUGUUGUGGAAUGACCAGAGCAUCGCUAAAAUAUCUGACAAGAUUGAAAAGUUUUUUCCUAACAGCCUCCAAGAGUAUCACAAAUGUAGCCGCAGGAACAUGGAUCUGAUGCAGAAAAACCGGGAAGAUUUCAAGUCCUUUGCUCAUGUUCUGGCCAGAGACAGGGAUAUACGUGAGACUUACAUUCGGGUUAGUGAAAAUCACUUCCCCCAUAAAAAAUAUAUAUAUUGUUUUUUUAGUUGUUACAAAUGAUUUGUUAAAUGGUACAUUAUUUAUAUAAGCACCAGUCUGCAUCAAUUCCAGAUCUUCAAAUAAAAUGUGAUUAUUCGACUUUGCAGGAUUUAAUGGAAGAGCAAUAUGGUGAAUGCUAUGCACAGAAACUGGAGGAGAGACUUUCUCACUAUUUGGGAGAGCUAGAUAAAGUCCUGCCACAACCUACAUAUAUUGAUCAGGUAGCCCUUUGUGAUAUCUAAAGUAUCCGCAUUUAGUUGUGCUUUUAUUUUUCUAAACAAAAAGACUGGUUAAAAAAAAAAUUGCUGAGAGGUGAUAAAACAUAUUCCAGCAACUAAAUAUAAAUAAAUAUAUUAGCUAAAUACAGUAUCUAGUCAGAGUUCCUGCAGGUCCUUAAAAUGUUUUACAUUCAGUUUGAUCAUAAAUAAGUCUUCAUAAAAACUGGAUACACAAUAAACUGUAUCUGCCAUUGUAUUCAUUGUAAACUAAAGGAAAUAAUGAAAAAAAUAUUUAACACAUUCAGUAUAUAGAUUUUUACUAGAAUCAGCACAAUAUAUAUAUAUAUAUAUAUAUAUAAGCUUUCCUUAAACACAUUAUUAUCAUAUAAUAAAAAUAUUUAUUUUAUUAAUGAUACAUUAUUCUAUUCUGUUCACAUUUGCAUGUGUCCAGUUACUGAAGCAGUCCUAUUCAUAUGGGAGGGGAGAGAAGAUCCUGAAAAAAUUACUUUCAAUUAAAAGUGCCUCUUUAGCCUCAGUUCUGAAGAGACUCCUAAAUUGCGCAGUAACAACAAAUCUAAGCCUUGACGACAGUCUCACUCCAUCACUUUCAUGCACUUGUGAGGAACAAAGGGACGCUGAAGUUGUUAAACCAUCUCAUGGUACCCUCCGUGUAUUUUUGAGGUCAUCUCAGAACAGCACAAAAGAGGAUGGACUCUUUGGUUCUCAGGGCUUGUGGCAAAAUAGAAACACGGAUACCAUUUGUGGGGAUGGAGUAAUCGUUACAUCUACGCAGUUGUCAGAUUCUGAAAUCAAUCUGAUUGACUUCAGCCAAUCUCCUCUGGCGGAGAAGGACCUGGUUGGGAGGGAGAGACAGGCGAAGACUCAAUCUGAACCAGGAGAGAAGGAAAGUGAGAGGGAUUUCAAAGAGCAGAUGUGCUCUAGGCAUGGCAAAACAAUGAGGAGCAUCCUUCAGGAAUGUUCUGAAGAGCCUGAUGGAGAAGUCGUACAGGCAGAAUGCACUCCCACAUCAACCCAGAGCACUCCACCUCUUCUUCUGUACUCACCACAACCUCAAGCAUCUCCAAACCAGCACUCACAGUCCUCAAACCCAGAUUCAUCCUCUACGAACAUUUCAUUGUCUUACAUCCAGCAGGUCAAUCUUUCCUCAGUGUCUUCAAAGAAUCCAGCUGCUCCUUCACCUUCAGUCUUCCUAGAGUCCUCAUCAUCUCAUUCCGCAGCCUCAGAGCAACUCGGAAUCGAUGCAGGAGAGAUUUUAGCUACUGCUGUCUUCACUGAACCAAGCACGACCAAUAAACAUGAUCUGAAACUGUCCUUAGAGAGUCAAAGCUUCCUCAUGCAGUCCAAGUGGCUUCAACCUCAAGUGUGUCUUAGUAGACUGAGCAAGGAAGAGUGUGUCAGAGCUAUGUAUUCAUACAGAGCCUGUGACAUUUUAGAAGGAGAACAAGAGCAUGAAGGUGAUCAAUACAUGUUAUUUGAUGUAAACACACUUUAUUCAGAUUCAUACUCGGAAGAUUUUGAAUCAACAGACUCUGAUGACCCUGAUUACAAGCCCAACUAA
This 2040-nucleotide long non-coding RNA is filed under the name Carassius auratus (goldfish). Its description in RNAcentral is "lncRNA (ENSCARG00000036294.1)". Lineage: Eukaryota; Metazoa; Chordata; Actinopteri; Cypriniformes; Cyprinidae. The record is from RNAcentral.